CCUCACUCAACUUGGCUGUGGUGUGGGGUCGUUUUGCUCCAUCACAACCUCCUUGAGUGAGUGA
This 64-nucleotide microRNA precursor is filed under the name Limulus polyphemus (Atlantic horseshoe crab). RNAcentral describes it as "Lpo-Mir-67-P7_pre stem-loop". It matches the Rfam family "mir-67 microRNA precursor family", at positions 12 to 73 of the family's 84-position model. Lineage: Eukaryota; Metazoa; Arthropoda; Merostomata; Xiphosura; Limulidae. The record is from RNAcentral.